UACGUUUAGUUGCUAACGCGUGAAGGCGAGCACUCUAGCGAACUGCCGUUGACAAAACGGAGGAAGGUGGGAUGACGUCAAAUCAUCAUGCCCUUAUGUUCUGGGCUACACACGUGCUACAAUGGCCGGUACAGACGGACGCAAAGCCACGAGGUGGAGCAAAUCCUAAAAAGCCGGUCUCAGUUCGGAUUGCAGGCUGCAAUUCGCCUGCAUGAAGUCGGAAUCGCUAGUAAUCGCAGGUCAGCAUACUGCGGUCGAAUACGUUCCCGGGCCUU
RNAcentral lists this ribosomal RNA (275 nucleotides) under uncultured Pelotomaculum sp. RNAcentral describes it as "partial 16S ribosomal RNA". It matches the Rfam family "Bacterial small subunit ribosomal RNA", at positions 1106 to 1382 of the family's 1533-position model. Lineage: Bacteria; Bacillati; Bacillota; Clostridia; Eubacteriales; Desulfotomaculaceae. The record is from RNAcentral.